Molecule: ribosomal RNA, 253 nt
Filed under: uncultured bacterium
Lineage: Bacteria
Description: partial 16S ribosomal RNA
Rfam family: Bacterial small subunit ribosomal RNA
Source: RNAcentral
UACGGAGGGUGCAAGCGUUAAUCGGAAUUACUGGGCGUAAAGGGUGCGUAGGUGGUUUUUUAAGUUAGCUGUGAAAUUCCUGGGCUUAACCUGGGGUGGUCAGCUAAGACUGGAAGACUGGAGUAUGGGAGAGGGUAGUGGAAUUUCCGGUGUAGCGGUGAAAUGCGUAGAGAUCGGAAGGAACACCAGUGGCGAAGGCGGCUACCUGGCCUAAUACUGACACUGAGGCACGAAAGCGUGGGGAGCAAACAGG